This 320-nucleotide unclassified non-coding RNA is filed under the name uncultured Actinomycetes bacterium. Its description in RNAcentral is "uncultured actinobacterium contains 16S-23S intergenic spacer region". Lineage: Bacteria; Bacillati; Actinomycetota; Actinomycetes. The record is from RNAcentral.
UCCGAGUUGACCCCGGCAGUCUCCUACGAGUCCCCGGCAUUACCCGCUGGCAACAUAGGACAAGGGUUGCGCUCGUUGCGGGACUUAACCCAACAUCUCACGACACGCCUGUCACGGACAUGUCAAGCCCAGGUAAGGUUCUUCGCGUUGCGUCGAAUUAAACCACAUGCUCCGCUGCUUGUGCGGGCCCCCGUCAAUUCCUUUGAGUUUUAGCCUUGCGGCCGUACUCCCCAGGCGGAGUGCUUAAUGCGUUAGCUGCGGCACAGAGCGGGUUGAAGACCGCCCCACACCUAGCACUCAACGUUUACGGCUGGGACUAC